UCGUAGUAGACGCUGAAAAAUCGUCGGGUUCUUGACACCCAUUGUGCACUUUGUGAGUGCUUUAGUGGAUUUGGAGCAGUGUUUUCUUAUCUCAUUCGAGCUAUUUGCUCGAAUUUUAACAUGGCAUACAAUUUACGAAAUCGGCCGUUGAGAGAACAACUUCUCGACGAGCAGUAUGACAAAGAAACUUUUGUCGGUCCAGCAAGCGAUAGUUAAGAGGACAAUAUUUCUGUGUUCUGUGAUCAAGAGUCCGAAAGCGAAUAGAGGCUGGGAAAAGAGCUCGAAGAAGAGCUAGAAACUGUUUCGCAUAGCAAACGAUUGUAUCUCAGCAAAGCGCGUGGGAGGCCCGAAAUUAUUUUGAGAGGAAAAAAUGGAUACGCUUGGAGCACGAGAGAAACAAGACGACGUUCAGAUCGACAUAUUCUUGUCCCACCUGAGAACAUUGCUGGCCCAAUCGGUGAAGCUGCUAAUCUAGAGGCAAUUAAUCAAUUUUUGAAAGUUCUCUUCAAUGAUAAAAUGAUUGUUGUCAUCGUUGAAUGUAUAAACGUGCAAAUAGAACAUGAAUGUGCAAUUA
Molecule: long non-coding RNA, 574 nt
Organism: Belonocnema kinseyi
Lineage: Eukaryota; Metazoa; Arthropoda; Insecta; Hymenoptera; Cynipidae
Exons: 3
Source: RefSeq, a predicted model, not a curated record